This 253-nucleotide ribosomal RNA is filed under the name uncultured bacterium. RNAcentral's name for it is "partial 16S ribosomal RNA". It matches the Rfam family "Bacterial small subunit ribosomal RNA", at positions 524 to 776 of the family's 1533-position model. The record is from RNAcentral.
UACGGAGGGGACUAGCGUUGUUCGGAAUUACUGGGCGUAAAGCGCACGUAGGCGGAUUUGUAAGUCAGGGGUGAAAUCCCGGGGCUCAACCUCGGAACUGCCUUUGAUACUGCAAAUCUCGAGUCCGGAAGAGGUGAGUGGAAUUCCUAGUGUAGAGGUGAAAUUCGUAGAUAUCGGGAGGAACACCAGUAGCGAAGGCGGUUCUCUGGGCCGGCACUGACGCUGAGGAGCGAAAGCGUGGGGAGCAAACAGG